GUAUCUUUAACUCCUAUCCCAACCUCCUCAUGGUGCUAGCUGGAUUAUAAUUGAAGAAUGCAGAUGUAUUGCUUCACAAUUAUAAACUAAUAGGGAUGG
Non-coding RNA from Anopheles merus, 99 nucleotides. The record is from Rfam. Lineage: Eukaryota; Metazoa; Arthropoda; Insecta; Diptera; Culicidae.